This 250-nucleotide ribosomal RNA is filed under the name uncultured bacterium. Its description in RNAcentral is "partial 16S ribosomal RNA". It matches the Rfam family "Bacterial small subunit ribosomal RNA", at positions 524 to 773 of the family's 1533-position model. The record is from RNAcentral.
GACGGAGGGGGCAAGCGUUGUCCGGAAUCACUGGGCGUAAAGCGCACGUAGGCGGUCUGGUGCGUCGGUGCUGAAACCUCUGGGCUUAACCCAGAGACGCGUGCCGAUACGACCGGACUGGAGGCAGGCAGAGGGUGGCGGAAUUCCGGGUGUAGUGGUGAAAUGCGUAGAGAUCCGGAGGAACGCCUGUGGCGCAAGCGGCCACCUGGGCCUGACCUGACGCUGAGGUGCGAAAGCGUGGGGAGCGAAC